CUACGUGCCAGCAGCCGCGGUAAUACGUAGGUGGCAAGCGUUGUCCGGAAUUAUUGGGCGUAAAGCGCGCGCAGGCGGAUUGGUCAGUCUGUCUUAAAAGUUCGGGGCUUAACCCCGUGAUGGGAUGGAAACUGCCAAUCUAGAGUAUCGGAGAGGAAAGUGGAAUUCCUAGUGUAGCGGUGAAAUGCGUAGAUAUUAGGAAGAACACCAGUGGCGAAGGCGACUUUCUGGACGAAAACUGACGCUGAGGCGCGAAAGCCAGGGGAGCGAACGGGAUUAGAUACCCCGGUAGUCCUGGCCGUAAACGAUGGGUACUAGGUGUAGGAGGUAUCGACCCCUUCUGUGCCGGAGUUAACGCAAUAAGUACCCCGCCUGGGGAGUACGACCGCAAGGUUGAAACUCAAAGGAAUUGACGGGGGCCCGCACAAGCGGUGGAGUAUGUGGUUUAAUUCGACGCAACGCGAAGAACCUUACCAGGUCUUGACAUUGAUGGAUAGAACUAGAGAUAG
This 509-nucleotide ribosomal RNA is filed under the name uncultured bacterium. Its description in RNAcentral is "bacterial SSU rRNA". It matches the Rfam family "Bacterial small subunit ribosomal RNA", at positions 501 to 1009 of the family's 1533-position model. The record is from RNAcentral.